AAUAAGUGCAGUUUUACACUAUUCAUGUUCGACGUUUAACCGUUCAUCUUAUUUAAUUUUUUUAUGAUUAGUAUUUUUAUUGCUAUUAGAUGAUAAAACAAGGAUAUUUUCAAAAUUUUCACAAAUUUUUCAAAUAAGACGGACUGUCAAACGUUGGGCACAAAUAUCCACGACUGUAUUUAUU
Non-coding RNA from Oryza meridionalis, 184 nucleotides. The record is from Rfam. NCBI's taxonomy places the organism in Eukaryota, Viridiplantae, Streptophyta, Magnoliopsida, Poales, Poaceae.